This is a long non-coding RNA of Mangifera indica (mango), 867 nucleotides long. RefSeq lists it as uncharacterized. Lineage: Eukaryota; Viridiplantae; Streptophyta; Magnoliopsida; Sapindales; Anacardiaceae. The transcript has 2 exons. The record is from RefSeq and is a predicted model, not a curated record.
UGUUACAGAAUCUGUGAAUAUGUGCAUUAGUAGAUAUAGAGCUUAAUUAUAGGAAUUAAUUAUGGUAGACGCAGAUUUUAGGAUCUCAAUUAUAGGAAUCAAAUAUUCAGUUUCCUACUCUAGAAUACAUAAUGUGUAUAUAUAAACGUAUCUCUGUAAUAGUAAAAAUAUGAAUAAAAAUAUACUCUGAAUUUCAGUUUCUACAUGGUAUCAGAGCCUGGUUUGCCCAAGUGUGCAAAUUCAGAAAUUUCGUAGCCCUAGAGAGCAAUUUCGUAGUUCACCGGUGUAGAGUGACCAUUAGUUCUCACCGCCAUACUAGAAAGAAGUGCGCUUCGCCGAUCGUCAGGUUCCCAGAAUCCGGCCACCGGAAGCUCAGCGCGUGACCCACACGCGCCGCCUGUUCCUUCUGAAAACGAACACUCAGAUCUCCUUUUCUGUGGCGCGUUGAUUCUCACCGCCGGCACAGUCAGACUCAGACGACGCCGAUCGUUCAGAUCCCCAAUCUUCCGUGGCAUUUCGCCGUCGAACGCGCCGUUGCCGUCGCCGGAACAGUUGCUGUCGACGAAUCCCUCUUUCUGACCAGGGUAUUUUCACUAUUUAUUUUAUUCGGCUGUAUUGAGUACUAUUAUGACAGAUAUUAAACCGAUAACCAUGGCUGAGAUGGUUCCUGUAAUGUCAAAAAUCACUGAACACAAGCUUAAUGGUUCUAAUUAUCUGGAUUGGAGUAAAACGGUUCGAUUGUACUUGUUGAGUCUGGAGAAAGAUGAUCACCUUACACAAGCUCCUCCUACGGAUGGUACCAGACAAGCAUGGCUGCGAGAUGAUGCUCGAUUAUUUUUGCAGAUCCGGAAUUCUAUUGAAAGUGAG